Long non-coding RNA from Cyprinus carpio (common carp), 347 nucleotides. RefSeq lists it as uncharacterized. The transcript is spliced from 3 exons. The record is from RefSeq and is a predicted model, not a curated record. NCBI's taxonomy places the organism in Eukaryota, Metazoa, Chordata, Actinopteri, Cypriniformes, Cyprinidae.
GAUUGAUUUCAGUCUCAAGCUGAGCACACAGAGUGUCAGAUAAAACAGCAGUUUGAGAAGCUCCAUCAGUUUCUCAGAGAUGAAGAAGAAGCUACAAUCACUGCACUGAGGGAGGAAGAGGAGCAGAAGAAGCAGAUGAUGAAGGAGAAGCUGGAGGAGAUCAACAGACACAUCUCAGCUCUUUCACAGAAAGUCAAAGAGACAGAGGAGAUGAUGGAAGCCAAUGAAGUCUGCUUUCUAAAGGAGUUUCCAGUCUCAAUGGAAAGAGUCCAGAUCUCAUCACAGCCGGAUCCAGAGACACCUGCUGGAGCUUUGAUUCAUGGUGCCACGUUACUUGGGCAACCUGC